GACGAACGCUGGCGGCGUGCCUAAUACAUGCAAGUAGAACGCACAGUUUAUACCGUAGCUUGCUACACCAUAAACUGUGAGUUGCGAACGGGUGAGUAACGCGUAGGUAACCUGCCUGGUAGCGGGGGAUAACUAUUGGAAACGAUAGCUAAUACCGCAUAAUAUUAAUUAUUGCAUGAUAAUUGAUUGAAAGAUGCAAUUGCAUCACUACCAGAUGGCCCUGCGUUGUAUUAGCUAGUAGGUGAGGUAACGGCUCACCUAGGCGACGAUACAUAGCCGACCUGAGAGGGUGAGCGGCCACACUGGGACUGAGACACGGCCCAGACGCCUACGGGAGGCAGCAGUAGGGAAUCUUCGGCAAUGGACGAAAGUCUGACCGAGCAACGCCGCGUGAGUGAAGAAGGUUUUCGGAUCGUAAAGCUCGGUUGUAAGAGAAGAACGGGUGUGAGAGUGGAAAGUUCACACUGUGACGGUAUCUUACCAGAAAGGGACGGCUAACUACGUG
RNAcentral lists this ribosomal RNA (505 nucleotides) under uncultured bacterium. Its description in RNAcentral is "partial 16S ribosomal RNA". It matches the Rfam family "Bacterial small subunit ribosomal RNA", at positions 28 to 507 of the family's 1533-position model. The record is from RNAcentral.